This 683-nucleotide ribosomal RNA is filed under the name uncultured bacterium. RNAcentral describes it as "bacterial SSU rRNA". It matches the Rfam family "Bacterial small subunit ribosomal RNA", at positions 78 to 745 of the family's 1533-position model. The record is from RNAcentral.
GAUGACGCUGGGAACGCGAGCGGCGGAUGGGUGAGUAACACGUGGGUAACCUGCCCUAAAGUCUGGGAUACCGCUUGGAAACAGGUGCUAAUACCGGAUAACAACAAUAGCUGCAUGGCUAUUGCUUAAAAGGCGGCGAAAGCUGUCGCUAAAGGAUGGACCCGUGGUGCAUUAGCUAGUUGGUAAGGUAAUGGCUUACCAAGGCGACGAUGCAUAGCCGAGUUGAGAGACUGAUCGGCCACAUUGGGACUGAGACACGGCCCAAACUCCUACGGGAGGCAGCAGUAGGGAAUCUUCCACAAUGGGCGAAAGCCUGAUGGAGCAACGCCGCGUGAGUGAAGAAGGUUUUCGGAUCGUAAAGCUCUGUUGUUGGUGAAGAAGGAUAGAGGUAGUAACUGGCCCCUAUUUGACGGUAAUCAACCAGAAAGUCACGGCUAACUACGUGCCAGCAGCCGCGGUAAUACGUAGGUGGCAAGCGUUGUCCGGAUUUAUUGGGCGUAAAGCGAGCGCAGGCGGAAAGAUAAGUCUGAUGUGAAAGCCCCCGGCUUAACCGAGGAAUUGCAUCGGAAACUGUGUUUCUUGAGUGCAGAAGAGGAGAGUGGAACUCCAUGUGUAGCGGUGGAAUGCGUAAAUAUAUGGAAGAACACCAGUGGCGAAGGCGGCUCUCUGGUCUGUAACUGACG